Long non-coding RNA from Rattus norvegicus (Norway rat), 3628 nucleotides. Lineage: Eukaryota; Metazoa; Chordata; Mammalia; Rodentia; Muridae. The record is from Ensembl.
UUAUUCAGAAAAUAUUUGAUCAUUUGUUUCAAAAUGUACAUUUAAAAAAAUCCAUACAAAACUGUAGCUUGUUUCUAAAACCAGACAGAAACAGUGGGAAAAGGACCAAUAAAAAUUUCACCAAAAGUAAAAAGACGCCCCUCCCCCCAGCCCUUUAAUAAGAAAGCAUAAAUACGGUAGGUACGAAUUUUCCUUGAGUUCCUUGCUGAAUUUGGUCCAUCACAUGAACAGGUGACUGCAGAAACAGUCAAUGUGUCCACAUUUGCGUUGUGAGUCACGCAGGGGCACCAGCUCCAACGCUCAUCCUUUCGGUGCUUGACAAACAGAGUAACCGAAAAGUGAGGUUUAAUCACACAUGAAUCUGUACCCCAAAGAAUGUCGGCACUCACCACCACAGCCAGAUCCCAUUGUGGGGGAGCAGGGCUCACCACUGUGACCACUGUGGCUGAUUCUUGGAAACAUGGCCCAUCCUUUGCACAGGAACAAGAAACCCUGGAAUGCCUUUGGUGGUGACGGUGAUGUCAGCGACUCCAGACUGAUCUUAUUCCCAGACAUCGACACUGUCCCAGUCUGAGGAUGGUUUUUUUUUUUUUCUCUUCAACACAUUUUUUAUUUUAUUUUUGAAAACAAUGUAAAGAUUUCUUAGACGAUAGGGCACAUUCUAUAAGAUUGCCACAGAAACCCACCCAAGACCAUGAGAAUGACAGCUAACAACGAAGGGACUGACGCUUCUGUAAGGGAUGAUGACACCUCCCGUAGGUCCCCUCUCUCCUGUUACUGCAGGAUGCGGUAAGAGACAAAGGCCUGUGGAAAAGACCACUGGGAGGGUUAUUGCACAACCCGGAAUAGCGGGAUAUCAGGAAUGGGCAGGCAGGCAAGGCAAGGGUCAGGGAGGUGGGUUGGUGCGGAACUAGGAACACGAGAUAACCCUGACAGGAAUCCAGGAGCUCUGCAGCUACCAGACCAUAGGCACUGCCAAACAGGUUACCAAUGAGCUAAGACUUGAAACCAGCGAGUACAAGUAAAUACAUUCCUCACACAAACUUUGGGCUACAGGGAAGUAAAACAGAUGGGGAAGAGGGUGCUGUUUCUAAUCUGGGGUGGGAAUGAGGAAACCGAAAAAGCAGGGCUCACCACAUAGGGCCAGAGGUACACAGGGGUGACCCUUCUUCCCAACCCCCAAGCUUCCCUUAUGAAAUAGGAAGCAUGGGUGCCUGCAGCUGGGCCACCUCGAGAGUUUCCAUAGCCACCCGGUCAAGCCAGAAGGCAACAGACAAGGGGAACUUAGAAUAAACCAGAGAGUACACAAGGUCUUACAUUAUGUGCGAGGGAGAAGAGGGUCAGAACAAAUGAGACAAAACUGUCAACCCAUGUCCCUUUCCCCUGGAUCUGUGUUGAGGUAUGGUGUCAUUGCCUGUGUAUGCCAGUCAGCCCUAGAGCCCUGGCAGUUGGGGGGCCCAGCCAUACAGUACCAGUGAAGGCCACAAGGCAAUAUAAGGCACUUUUACAUGAAAGAACAAGGAUAAGAACGGGACGUUCGUAGAGGCUGCUCGGCAUGACUUUUCUUCUCAUCUGCAGAGCUUUGGAAGCGGAUGCAAUGGAGCUAACGCUAGCAUAAAAAGCCAGGGAUAAAUGGCGAGAAGUUGGUACCAGCAUCCUCCUAACGCUAGCCAUGGGCUGGAGAAGGAUUCUACAGAUGCUUUCAAAAGUCUGACACUGAUAUCCUCCUUUAAAUCCUGUUCUGAGGAAAGAAGGUGUAAGCUCGGGAGCACGAGGGAGGCAGAGGACCAGCUCACUGUUCGAACUCACAGGCUUCAAGUCCAUUCCACACCAGUGAAGAACAGAGGCCAGACACCAAGAAUGGAAAUCUGUCUCCUGGAGACACAGAGGCCCUCAGGCAGAGAAAGUUACCUAAGCUGAGACCCUAUACCUCCUCCCCGUCCCAGACUUCUGCAAACUCAACCGGCUGAGAGCCAUUAAAGACAAACGCCAAUGGAGGUCUUCCCUAGCUGCAAGGGAGUCAGCAGGUUUCUUUAAGGAUGCAGGGAAUCUAAGAGAACUUUGUAGGCUUUUUGGAAAAUGGGGAAAAAAAACCACUCAGAAAAAAAAAAUGCCAAAGGGGGCUUAAAAGGUCUCCACCUUCAGGGGCUCUUACAGUCCCAGGAACUCCACAAAAGCAUGGUGUGAGUAGCCAGAACACUGUCAUCUAAAUUUAAGUGACUUAAGUCCACCCUUAGGAUGCACCAGAUGAUGCUGCCUGAAAACCAUUUAGGUACGCAGGGCUAGGACUGGCUAGAAUGGCAGAAAGUUUUAGUUUGCUUCUCUUUCUCCCAGGACCACCUCAGAAUGUAGGAGGGACACAAGGAGCUAAUUCAUAGCGUAGGCAUCCAAACCUGGAUAGCUUGUAAAAGUAACCGUCCCAUCGCCACACCUCUGGGGAGGGCAACUAGUAACAGGGAGCUCUCCAUCCACCACUCUGCCACCUGGCGCCUGCUGGCGUUCCAGGGACACUGAGAGACAGGCAGUGGCUGCUGAGGUAGUGAUUAGCAUCUUCUGGUCCUGGUAGAUUGUGCUGAACAUCUGAAACUUGGAGGAGCAUGACAGGUCCCUCACUAAGGGUGUGGUAUUUUGGGGGAUGGGAGAGCCUGCAUAAAAUCAAAGAAUGGGGCCAGGGCACCCAAAUUAUAAGCUAGCCUGCGCACACGCAGGAUGGUGUAGAACUUGGUUGCUGUGAUUCUGGCAACAAGGUCUGUGCUAACUCUACAAAGUCUUGGCUUUCCUAUAACAUCAACGCCAGAGAGGCUGGGUGGAUGAGAAAGGGCCCCCUAGUUCCCCCAAGCCCGAAAUCAUCCCAGAAGUCAAGCCUGGGGAGGUGUUGCCCUUGGUCUCAGCUUUUCUGAAAUGAAUGCUCUAAACUCCUACCACUGACCAAACCCAUAUGUUCCAGAAGAGCCUUGGUCAAUCCCAACACUUGGAUUCUCGGUGAUAACACCCAACAUACAAGCAGCAAAGGAAGCCUGCAAGCACUCAAGGAACAGAUCCACACCAUCUCAGUCAUCUAAGUGUACUGGGAAAGAGUAGCAACCCCCCACCCCCACCCCGCCACAGCGACAGGACCACUGGAUCCUAGACAGCUGGCCUUUGUACUUCUGUUUCUCCAAGACCUCCACAUAUCUCAUGCUUGUCCCAAAUAUUUACUGAGGGAGUAACUCAAUAGUUCAGCCUAGAGACAAAGCUCCCACAGUGAGCUGGCAAAGGGCUUGCCAGUGUCUUAGGGAGACAGGCCCUUAACCUGGGGAUGGUCCCGGAGGACACUUAAACUGACGGGGUGAGGCGAUCUUGGGAGCCACUAGCUGAACUUUCACAUCGCUACAGGCAGCAUCUCAAAGCGUAAGCUUGAUUAAAAUCCCUAUGAGGAUGGGUGGGCUGCACGGCUAAAAGGUGCCAGCCAGAUCAAUUCUGUGGGGAUGCCCAGAGAAGGGCCAGGAGGCAAUAGAGAAAUGUACUUGCAAAAUUCUAUCUUGCUUCCUAAGCUCACACAAAAGAAGCCAAGGGGAUCUCAUUUCUAUUCUGUAUGCUUAACCUGGACACAGAGAGAAAAAAACAAACAAACAAACAAAAAAAAAAA